Ictalurus punctatus (channel catfish) is the source of this 1304-nucleotide long non-coding RNA. RefSeq lists it as uncharacterized. The transcript has 2 exons. The record is from RefSeq and is a predicted model, not a curated record. Lineage: Eukaryota; Metazoa; Chordata; Actinopteri; Siluriformes; Ictaluridae.
GUCAUGUGGAAAGACUGUGCUUGUGGAGAUCUACAGCAGAUGCCCAUGGCAAUCCAGAGUGAUUGCAUGGUGUCAGAAGACUUGCAUUAUAAUACAACCCGUAUGGAGUCAUUGUAUGGACAUUUGUUUUUUUGAAGCUGAAGGGCUGGACUCCAUUUACCGCAAUUGUUUGGAUGAAAGUUCCCUUGGCCUUAAUUUUUGUCUGAAUUAUAAUUUUAAUCACAGUCAUAGCCCCGUUCACUGUCCUGCCUAAAAUUUUAAUCUGACAGUCUGACGAUAUCUUCAUUACCUUGUCUUCAUGCUUUUUAUCCGUGACCUUCACUCAUUGGUGAGCAUAGCCUCAUAUCUUUGAUUUAACAUCUGGACUGGGCCACUUCCCUUAAAGUGAUAUUGAACUUUGUUGAAGUUUGGGUUGUGGAGUUUAGUGGCCAUGACAUGAGUCCAAAUAUUUAUAGUCAUCAUCAGCUGCUCCUGUGCUAAUCUUGUGAGAAGUUUGCAAAGGGAUACUUUUAACAGAAGCCACCCAGUUUCUUUUACCUAGCUGUGGCGUGCACCAGCUGCUGGAGAAGAUAUUUUGGACUUGCAGCAUAGACAGUACAACACAAAGUUUUACCAAGAUUCAAGAUCACUUGUGUAGUGUAAUUUUGUAUUUUACUUAUUGUAAACAUGGCCUGUGAAAAGAGGAAAAACUACAUUGCUUUUCUAUUACUAACAAAUAUGGUCCAUUUUGCUACCACCAAAAAUACUUUAUGGACAUACAAGUUACACAUAACUUUAUUUAUGGACUUUAAUGUUGUGAAUUGUUUAUAUAUCCUGAUUUCUUGAGUUAAAACUGAUGUCUUGUGAAAAUUUCAUGUGAAUAGCCUCAUAGGAAAUAUAUUUACUGAAAGAAAUGUUGACAUGUCCAAUACUUAUUUCUCCCACUGUAUGUUGAACAGCAAAUAGCAUGAAUAUGCUUGUUCAUGUAAUCUGACAUACAAUGCUUAGUUAUCAUUACAAUUCUCUAAAAUGACUAACUAAUACUGUAACUGUGCACAUUGCUUUGAUUAAAAGUACAUAUUCCGUAUUUAUACAUACAGUUGUAAUUUUGUUUACUUGGAGAAACAGAAAUCUUACAGGAAAUAACUGUAGAUAGACAGAGCAGUUGCUUAAAGUAACUAUAAAAUACCUUGAAUUUACAGAGAUUGGCUGUAAAUGUUUGUAAUGUUUGUAAAUAUUUUUAAUGUACUGUUUUAAAAAUAUAAUAGUUCUGUAAAAUGGCUGAUUAAUAGUAUAAAUCUAAAAACAUUUGUCUUUGUUUUAUA